Molecule: ribosomal RNA, 492 nt
Filed under: uncultured bacterium
Lineage: Bacteria
Description: partial 16S ribosomal RNA
Rfam family: Bacterial small subunit ribosomal RNA
Source: RNAcentral
AGUGAACGCUGGCGGUAGGCCUAACACAUGCAAGUCGAACGGCAGCACAGUAAGAGCUUGCUCUUACGGGUGGCGAGUGGCGGACGGGUGAGGAAUACAUCGGAAUCUACUUUUUCGUGGGGGAUAACGUAGGGAAACUUACGCUAAUACCGCAUACGACCUACGGGUGAAAGCAGGGGCUCUUCGGACCUCGCGCGAUUGAAUGAGCCGAUGUCGGAUUAGCUAGUUGGCGGGGUAAAGGCCCACCAAGGCGACGAUCCGUAGCUGGUCUGAGAGGAUGAUCAGCCACACUGGAACUGAGACACGGUCCAGACUCCUACGGGAGGCAGCAGUGGGGAAUAUUGGACAAUGGGCGCAAGCCUGAUCCAGCCAUACCGCGUGGGUGAAGAAGGCCUUCGGGUUGUAAAGCCCUUUUGUUGGGAAAGAAAAGCAGCAGGUUAAUACCCCGCUGUUCUGACGGUACCCAAAGAAUAAGCACCGGCUAACUUCGUG